Molecule: long non-coding RNA, 892 nt
Organism: Epinephelus moara (kelp grouper)
Lineage: Eukaryota; Metazoa; Chordata; Actinopteri; Perciformes; Serranidae
Exons: 3
Source: RefSeq, a predicted model, not a curated record
GCAGGCAAAGGGUCAUGGUUAUGCAAUUUACCCAGCACAAGAGACCGUGCAUCCUCACCGAAAGGCAGACUCAUCAAAAGUGUCCUCCUCGCCUGCAGGGGUGCCAAGGACACAUGUUGCACAGACCAUCUACCUGUGAGGAUUUUCUGCAUGGUGGAAGAAGUUUUCAGUAUGUAUCACAGACUCUUUGGUUUCUGCUUCCUGUUCUUGACCUUGUGACGGACGACAGCAACAGUGGUGAAGAAGUUUCCCAUGAACAGAAUGAGGAAGCAGAGACCACACAUCAAGACCUGGCAUCACGUGGAACAAAGGGAGCAAACCUCUGGGAGCUGAGCCAUUCUGAAGAGAGAGAGGCCAUUGAAGAGCUGCCAGAACUACAAGACAAAACACGAGGACUUAAGACUUUGUGUUGUAAAAAAAAAAAGUGUUUGAAGCUUUGCAAACGUAGACAAAAGCUUAAGCUGUUAUUGAGAUCAAACACCUGAACAUUGUCUCGAGUCAUGCCUACAUAUGCAGAGUAAUGUUAAGUCUAGAAUGACAUCAGCAUUAUCAGCAUUUUUUCAUCAGUUUGUCUGUGUCAACCAGUCUUAACCAUGACAAAGCGGGAUUUAUAAGCAGAGGAUAUUUCUCAAGUUCUGUUGUGAAUUAGGUCACUGUCACACAUUGUACUCACAUGACCAAAAAACAGGAAGGGCAGCAGAAACGUCAGCCCUUUCCACAUCCACGACUGAAACCCCUCUAAAAACAGAAAGCAGAAAAGUCUUUCAAGCACCUUUUUUUAAACUUCAACAUUUGUGUAAUACAGCAGAGACAAUGAGGAGCCUGAGACCUGCCAAACGGAGCAUCAUUGUGUCUCAAAUCUUCACUAAAUAGUCAAAUAUGCCUGGCUGAG